GAGUGUAUAGCUCAGUGGUAGAGUAUGUGCUUAGCAUGCACAGGAUCCUGAGUUCAAUCCCCAGUACCUCCA
This is a transfer RNA of Camelus ferus (Wild Bactrian camel), 72 nucleotides long. It matches the Rfam family "tRNA". From Rfam's summary of the family: Transfer RNA (tRNA) molecules are approximately 80 nucleotides in length. Their secondary structure includes four short double-helical elements and three loops (D, anti-codon, and T loops). Further hydrogen bonds mediate the characteristic L-shaped molecular structure. tRNAs have two regions of fundamental functional importance: the anti-codon, which is responsible for specific mRNA codon recognition, and the 3' end, to which the tRNAs corresponding amino acid is attached (by aminoacyl-tRNA synthetases). tRNAs cope with the degeneracy of the genetic code in two manners: having more than one tRNA (with a specific anti-codon) for a particular amino acid; and 'wobble' base-pairing, i.e. permitting non-standard base-pairing at the 3rd anti-codon position. NCBI's taxonomy places the organism in Eukaryota, Metazoa, Chordata, Mammalia, Artiodactyla, Camelidae. The record is from Rfam.